RNAcentral lists this non-coding RNA (1243 nucleotides) under Trypanosoma cruzi strain CL Brener. RNAcentral's name for it is "Eukaryotic large subunit ribosomal RNA". It matches the Rfam family "Eukaryotic large subunit ribosomal RNA", at positions 225 to 1489 of the family's 3401-position model. The record is from Rfam by way of RNAcentral. Lineage: Eukaryota; Euglenozoa; Kinetoplastea; Trypanosomatida; Trypanosomatidae.
UGGCUGCUGGACCGCGCCCAUGCGAAGUUCCUUCGACGAGUCGAGUUGUUUGGGAAUGCAGCUCUAAGUGGGUGGUAAAUUUCAUCUAAAGCUAAAUAUUGGCCGGAGACCGAUAGCGCACAAGUAGAGUGAUCGAAAGGUUAAAAGCACCUUGAAAAGGGAGUUAAAUAGCACGUGAAAUUGUUGAAAGGGAAGCGCUUGCAACCAGACUCGGUCGUGGGGGCUCAGCGGGCAUGCGUGCCCGUGUACUCCCCCAUGCUCCGGGCCAGCAUCAGUUCUGGCGGUUGGUUAAAGGCCUCUGGAAUGUAUCGUCCUCCGGGACGUCUUAUAGCCAGGGGCGCAAUGCGGCCAGCCGGGACUGAGGAACGCGCUUCGGCACGGAUGCUGGCAUAAUGGUUGUAAGCGGCCCGUCUUGAAACACGGACCAAGGAGUCUAACAUCCACGCGAGUGUUCGGGUGUCAAACCCGUGCGCGCAGUGAAAGCGAACGGAGGUGGGAGCCCGCAAGGGUGCACCAUCGACCGAUCCUGAAGUCUUCGGAUGGAUUUGAGUAAGAGCGUGGCUGUUGGGACCCGAAAGAUGGUGAACUAUGCCUGAAUAGGGUGAAGCCAGAGGAAACUCUGGUGGAGGCUCGCAGCGGUUCUGACGUGCAAAUCGAUCGUCAAAUUUGGGUAUAGGGGCGAAAGACUAAUCGAACCAUCUGGUAGCUGGUUCCUGCCGAAGUUUCCCUCAGGAUAGCAGUAACGUUUUCAGUUUUAUGAGGUAAAGCGAAUGAUUAGAGGCCUUGGGGUUGAAACAACCUUAACCUAUUCUCAAACUUUAAAUAUGUAAGAAGCCCUUGUUACUUAAGUGAACGUGGGCAUUAGAAUGGAUCGUUACUAGUGGGCCAUUUUUGGUAAGCAGAACUGGCGAUGCGGGAUGAACCGAACGCGAGGUUAAGGUGCCGGAAUGCACGCUCAUCAGACACCACAAAAGGUGUUAGUUCAUCUAGACAGCCCGACGGUGGCCAUGGAAGUCGGAAUCCGCUAAGGAGUGUGUAACAACUCACGGGCCGAAUGAACUAGCCCUGAAAAUGGAUGGCGCUCAAGCGUGCUACCCAUACCUCGCCGUCGGGGUAGAAACGAAGCCCCGACGAGUAGGCAGGCGUGGAGGUUUGUAACGAAGCCUUGGGAGUGAUCCCGGGUCGAACAGCCUCUAGUGCAGAUCUUGGUGGUAGUAGCAAAUACUCAAAUGAGAACUUGAGG